RNAcentral lists this ribosomal RNA (616 nucleotides) under uncultured bacterium. RNAcentral's name for it is "partial 16S ribosomal RNA". It matches the Rfam family "Bacterial small subunit ribosomal RNA", at positions 32 to 686 of the family's 1533-position model. The record is from RNAcentral.
AACGCUGGCGGCGUGCCUAACACAUGCAAGUCGAACGCCCUACGCAAGUAGGGAGUGGCGGACGGGUGAGGAACACGUGAGUACCUACCCAUCAGUGAGGAAUACCGGCGAGAAAUCGCCGACAAGACCGCAUAUGCUUCGCAAGAAGGAAAGCUCGCAAGAGCGCUGAAGGAUGGGCUUGCGCCCGAUUAGUUAGUUGGUGAGGUAAUGGCUUACCAAGACCGCGAUCGGUAGCUGGUCUGAGAGGAUGAUCAGCCACACUGGGAUUGAGAACGACCCAGACUCCUACGGGGGGCAGCAGUGAGGAAUUUUCGUCAAUGGGGGCAACCCUGAACGAGCAACGCCGCGUGCAGGAAGAAGGUCUUCGGAUCGUAAACUGCUUUUCACUGGGACGAGCAAGGACGGUACCAGAGGAAUCAGCCUCGGCUAACUACGUGCCAGCAGCCGCGGUAAUACGUAGGAGGCAAGCGUUGUCCGGAGUUACUGGGCGUAAAGCGCACGCAGGCGGUCUUUUAAGUCUGUAGGGACAGGGCACAGCUCAACUGUGUCAGGCUUACGGAAACUGGGAGACUUGAGGGCUUCAGAGGGAUGGGGAAUUCCGGGUGGAGUGGUGAAA